This 514-nucleotide ribosomal RNA is filed under the name uncultured bacterium. RNAcentral describes it as "bacterial SSU rRNA". It matches the Rfam family "Bacterial small subunit ribosomal RNA", at positions 624 to 1128 of the family's 1533-position model. The record is from RNAcentral.
CGGUUGAGACUGCAGUGCUGGAGUGCUGUAUAGGCAAGUGGAAUUCCCAGUGUAGCGGUGAAAUGCGUAGAUAUUGGGAAGAACACCGGUGGCGAAGGCGACUUGCUGGGCAGCAACUGACGCUGAGGCGCGAAAGCCAGGGGAGCAAACGGGAUUAGAUACCCCGGUAGUCCUGGCCGUAAACGAUGAAUGCUAGGUGUGGGUGUAGAGAUACAUUCGUGCCGGAGUUAACGCGAUAAGCAUUCCGCCUGGGGAGUACGGUCGCAAGAUUGAAACUCAAAGGAAUUGACGGGGGCCCGCACAAGCGGUGGAGCACGUGGUUUAAUUCGAUGCAAACCGAAGAACCUUACCUGGGUUUGACAUGUACGUGGUACCGGAUCUGAAAGGUGAAGGACCUUUUCUUCGGAAGAGGAAGCGUACACAGGUGCUGCAUGGCUUGUCGUAGCUCGUGUCGUGAGAUGUUGGGUUUAAGUCCCGCAACGAGCGCAACCCUGCUGCAGUUGCAACGGUUGAA